AGAGUUUGAUCAUGGCUCAGAUUGAACGCUGGCGGCAGGCCUAACACAUGCAAGUCGAGCGGUAGCACAGAGAGCUUGCUCUCGGGUGACGAGCGGCGGACGGGUGAGUAAUGUCUGGGAAACUGCCUGAUGGAGGGGGAUAACUACUGGAAACGGUAGCUAAUACCGCAUAACGUCGCAAGACCAAAGUGGGGGACCUUCGGGCCUCAUGCCAUCAGAUGUGCCCAGAUGGGAUUAGCUAGUAGGUGGGGUAACGGCUCACCUAGGCGACGAUCCCUAGCUGGUCUGAGAGGAUGACCAGCCACACUGGAACUGAGACACGGUCCAGACUCCUACGGGAGGCAGCAGUGGGGAAUAUUGCACAAUGGGCGCAAGCCUGAUGCAGCCAUGCCGCGUGUGUGAAGAAGGCCUUCGGGUUGUAAAGCACUUUCAGCGGGGAGGAAGGCGGUAAGGUUAAUAACCUCAUCGAUUGACGUUACCCGCAGAAGAAGCACCGGCUAACUCCGUGCCAGCAGCCGCGGUAAUACGGAGGGUGCAAGCGUUAAUCGGAAUUACUGGGCGUAAAGCGCACGCAGGCGGUCUGUCAAGUCGGAUGUGAAAUCCCCGGGCUCAACCUGGGAACUGCAUUCGAAACUGGCAGGCUAGAGUCUUGUAGAGGGGGGUAGAAUUCCAGGUGUAGCGGUGAAAUGCGUAGAGAUCUGGAGGAAUACCGGUGGCGAAGGCGGCCCCCUGGACAAAGACUGACGCUCAGGUGCGAAAGCGUGGGGAGCAAACAGGAUUAGAUACCCUGGUAGUCCACGCCGUAAACGAUGUCGAUUUGGAGGUUGUGCCCUUGAGGCGUGGCUUCCGGAGCUAACGCGUUAAAUCGACCGCCUGGGGAGUACGGCCGCAAGGUUAAAACUCAAAUGAAUUGACGGGGGCCCGCACAAGCGGUGGAGCAUGUGGUUUAAUUCGAUGCAACGCGAAGAACCUUACCUGGUCUUGACAUCCACAGAACUUUCCAGAGAUGGAUUGGUGCCUUCGGGAACUGUGAGACAGGUGCUGCAUGGCUGUCGUCAGCUCGUGUUGUGAAAUGUUGGGUUAAGUCCCGCAACGAGCGCAACCCUUAUCCUUUGUUGCCAGCGGUUCGGCCGGGAACUCAAAGGAGACUGCCAGUGAUAAACUGGAGGAAGGUGGGGAUGACGUCAAGUCAUCAUGGCCCUUACGACCAGGGCUACACACGUGCUACAAUGGCAUAUACAAAGAGAAGCGACCUCGCGAGAGCAAGCGGACCUCAUAAAGUAUGUCGUAGUCCGGAUUGGAGUCUGCAACUCGACUCCAUGAAGUCGGAAUCGCUAGUAAUCGUAGAUCAGAAUGCUACGGUGAAUACGUUCCCGGGCCUUGUACACACCGCCCGUCACACCAUGGGAGUGGGUUGCAAAAGAAGUAGGUAGCUUAACCUUCGGGAGGGCGCUUACCACUUUGUGAUUCAUGACUGGGGUGAAGUCGUAACAAGGUAACCGUAGGGGAACCUGCGGUUGGAUCACCU
Molecule: ribosomal RNA, 1528 nt
Filed under: Klebsiella pneumoniae
Lineage: Bacteria; Pseudomonadati; Pseudomonadota; Gammaproteobacteria; Enterobacterales; Enterobacteriaceae
Description: bacterial SSU rRNA
Rfam family: Bacterial small subunit ribosomal RNA
Source: RNAcentral